GCGUCGGUGGUAUAACGGUUAGCAUAGCUGCCUUCCAAGCAGUUUACCCGGGUUCGACUCCCGGCCGACGCA
Molecule: transfer RNA, 72 nt
Filed under: Nephila pilipes (giant wood spider)
Lineage: Eukaryota; Metazoa; Arthropoda; Arachnida; Araneae; Nephilidae
Rfam family: tRNA
About the family: Transfer RNA (tRNA) molecules are approximately 80 nucleotides in length. Their secondary structure includes four short double-helical elements and three loops (D, anti-codon, and T loops). Further hydrogen bonds mediate the characteristic L-shaped molecular structure. tRNAs have two regions of fundamental functional importance: the anti-codon, which is responsible for specific mRNA codon recognition, and the 3' end, to which the tRNAs corresponding amino acid is attached (by aminoacyl-tRNA synthetases). tRNAs cope with the degeneracy of the genetic code in two manners: having more than one tRNA (with a specific anti-codon) for a particular amino acid; and 'wobble' base-pairing, i.e. permitting non-standard base-pairing at the 3rd anti-codon position.
Source: Rfam by way of RNAcentral